Homo sapiens (human) is the source of this 1200-nucleotide long non-coding RNA. Ensembl annotates it as family with sequence similarity 86, member A pseudogene. Its record names the gene FAM86EP. The record is from Ensembl. NCBI's taxonomy places the organism in Eukaryota, Metazoa, Chordata, Mammalia, Primates, Hominidae.
CCCCGCCCACGCCAUGGCGCCCUAGGAGAACGCGGGGACAGAACUCUUGCUGCAGAGUUUCGAGCGCCGCUUCCUGGCGGCGCGCUCACUGCGCUCCUUCCCCUGGCAGGUGGGCGGCGGGGCGAGCGGAGAGGCCCGCGGGGCUCGCGGGAGUCCAGGGGCAGACGGGAUGUGUCUCCGUGCUGAAGCCCCCGGCGCUCCCGCCACGUGAGUGCCUGGGCUCCCGCCGGUCAGGUCGGCGCGACCCGGUCCCCGUCCCUGGGGCCUGGCCAGAGUCGCUCGCACCCCUCCUGCCCCGCGGGCUGGCGGCGUAAGCUGGGGGCGUCUCCACCGUCUUGGGGGGCAGACGCGCGCUCGUUGUGGGGUACAGUUCACGAUCAUUUUCACGACUUUUUAAAGGCAGUAAUCGUUCUGGUCACUGCGACACAGCUGCCCUCGCCCAUUCUAAAAAGUCAGCGCCCUCAGGACCGCAGGUAACCACGUCCUCCUGAGUGCGGUGACCAGGUCACAGGCUGUCCCUCGUGCCUCAGUGUUCUCAUCUGUAUGUCGAGCACUGCACAGAAUCGGCUCAUGCGCUGAGGCUCUCACGCCUGUGAUGGAAGAGACAGAGAAGGGGGUGGCCUCUUGUCUCCCUGGGGACCUCCCAUUCUCAGCACAGGCGCAUGGCAGGCAGCAGCCUCCCUUCUGCCAGCAGAGGAGCUUAAUGCACCCGGACACAUUUGUAAUUCAUGUGCGGUGAGCUCACUGGGAUGAGUCAGUUUGGAUAUAUAUUCCUCCCUGGGUCUGCCCCAUUUUAUGGGGUGUUGCUUAAUCGUUUGCGUUAUUCCAUUGACAUGAAAUAUUUGCACUCAGAGAUCAUUUCUGGUCAGGAGAAAUUUGUGCGUUUUUAACCCUAAAUAGAAACCUUCCUAAAAGCAUCAUAGGUCUCCAUUCAAUAUUGACUAUAAUUGUUCACAUGCCCACGCUGAAUGCUAACUUGGGCUCACCCUCAACACCCACGAGGUGGGUACUAUUAUUAUCACUCACAUUUGACCAGAGGGAUUGUUUGAUUAGGGUGCAGUAGUUGAGAGUUCAGACCCAGGAGACAGCCUGUCUGCUUCCAAUCCUGGCCCAGCCCCUGGCCCUGUGUGACCUUGGGCAAGUGACUGCAUCUCUCUGUGCUGUUGUUUUUUUCUUAAUAAAAUGGGGGAUAUAAUGAUA